GCUACACCAUGCUUGAAGAAUGAGACGGCUUCUCCAGGAAACAGUGGGAGGAGAUGGGAUGGCAAACAAUGUAUAAAGAAUAGAACAAAUACAAAUGUGCAGAAAGGAAGAAAGAAUGGGGUAUUUUCAGGAAAUGAGUAAGAGUCCAGCUUGCCUGAAGCAGAGAGUAUAAGGACGGGACCAGUGGGUGAAAAGACCACAAAGGUAGGUUAGGGAUAGAUGGCAGAAGGAUUUGAAUGCCAGCCUGAGGAAUGUGGGUAUUUUUUAAAGUAGGUUGGGGAGACUCAUUGCAUGCCUCUAAGCAGGGAAGGAACUUGAUUGGUAUUAAAUGGAAAUGGUUUUUGCAGGAAUCAAGACCAAAGAUGUUAGUGCUCUGGUCCUUGGUUUCCCUUCUAUCCAUCUAUAUUGGAGGUCUCGAUGGUCUGUCCAGUGGCUUAAUUGAUACUGUAAGCUCAUCUGUGCUUGCUGGCGCUCCAACAUGGAUGCAAAAGGUGGCACCUCUCGUGGCUCAACUUCCACCAGAGGCACAAAGCUGGGUAAUGUCACCUGAGGCCUAUGAGAUCAUAUCAACGAUGCCAGACUUGUCAAAGUCACAUGUGUUAUCUGAACUUCCAAAGAUAUCAUCACGCUUGUCUCGACUUAUUCCAAAGAAGGGACUACUUCCAAUGCAUCUUGAAACUCGAGGCCAACGAAAGAAAAAGCUUCCCAAAGAUCCACCUGAAGCAAAAAACCAAAGCUGUGAAGCUUCAGCGUGGAGAUUUUACUCUAUACAGGAAAUGGAUACCGUUAUGAAUGCCUCUCUGAAAAAAAAGACAGAAGAAAUGAUCAAAUGUUCUAAGGUUACGUUGGCAGGACUGAUUGGAGAACUUUUAUGUGGAUUAAUAUCUAAUGGGGGCCUCUCUGGUCUUCCUGACGUGUUAGGCAUGCUUACUAGUGGUCCCCUUUCUGGUUCACCGUUAAACCUACCUGGUACUGACAUACUUGGGGGAAAUUCCAAGUCCCCUCUCGGAGGACUAACUGGUCUUGCUGAAGGUGAAAAUCCGGCGGAUGAAAAGAAUCUUGGUGGCUUGACGAAAAUGCCUUUAGGGAACAGCAAAGAUUCAGAAGAAAGCAAAGAGGGAAAUGAAGAUGAACCUAAAUCGAACCUGGAUAAUGUUUUACCAGGAAAACCAGA
RNAcentral lists this long non-coding RNA (1174 nucleotides) under Monodelphis domestica (gray short-tailed opossum). Its description in RNAcentral is "lncRNA (ENSMODG00000037690.1)". The record is from RNAcentral. Lineage: Eukaryota; Metazoa; Chordata; Mammalia; Didelphimorphia; Didelphidae.